Molecule: ribosomal RNA, 562 nt
Filed under: Fusarium decemcellulare
Lineage: Eukaryota; Fungi; Ascomycota; Sordariomycetes; Hypocreales; Nectriaceae
Description: eukaryotic LSU rRNA
Rfam family: 5.8S ribosomal RNA (bases 194-347)
Source: RNAcentral
CUUCCGUAGGUGAACCUGCGGAGGGAUCAUUACCGAGUUUACAACUCCCAAACCCCUGUGAACAUACCUAUAAUUUGCCUCGGCAGACUCAACGACGGUGCUCCGAGAAAUCGGGCGCCGCUCGCUGCCAGAGGAACCCCAAACUCUAUGUAUUCUUGUGGAUCUUCUGAGUAAAACAAAACAAAUAAAUCAAAACUUUCAACAACGGAUCUCUUGGUUCUGGCAUCGAUGAAGAACGCAGCGAAAUGCGAUAAGUAAUGUGAAUUGCAGAAUUCAGUGAAUCAUCGAAUCUUUGAACGCACAUUGCGCCCGCCAGUAUUCUGGCGGGCAUGCCUGUUCGAGCGUCAUUUCAACCCUCAAGCCCCCGGGCUUGGUGUUGGGGAUCGGCGAUAGUCGCCGUCCCCCAAAUCUAGUGGCGGUCUCGCUGUAGCCUCCAUUGCGUAGUAGCUAACACCUCGCAACUGGAACGCGGCGCGGCCAAGCCGUUAAACCCCCAACUUCUGAAUGUUGACCUCGGAUCAGGUAGGAAUACCCGCUGAACUUAAGCAUAUCAAUAAGCGGA